This 916-nucleotide long non-coding RNA is filed under the name Gouania willdenowi (blunt-snouted clingfish). Its description in RNAcentral is "lncRNA (ENSGWIG00000005145.1)". The record is from RNAcentral. Lineage: Eukaryota; Metazoa; Chordata; Actinopteri; Blenniiformes; Gobiesocidae.
GUGUGUGUGUGUGUGUGCGUGUGUGCGUGUGUGUGUGUGUGUGUGUGUGUGUGUGUGUGUGUGUGCGUGUGUGCGUGUGUGUGUGUGUCUCAGGACUGCGUGUACGAGCUGAGGCUUCUGUCUCGUGUUGGGGAAAUGCUGAGCGAGCGCGGUCCAUCAGUCAAUGUCUCCACUGUGGGGAUGGAGGUCUACCCGUCCACGUCCCAGCUCCAGGACUCGGUCCCAGAACCAUUACUGGCGGGAGUUCUAAGUGGCGUGGGCUUCAUGCUGCUGGCGCUGGUCCUGCUGGUGGGCGUGGCCUGUUUCAUCAGUCACGGGAGGAAGCGGCGGCGGCGGCGGCGUGGGGAGAGAAAGGAAGAAGGUAGAGACUCCCACUGUGAUCUAUAUCAUCAUUUAGUGGAUCCAGUCUGGACAGAUGCUGCAGCUGUAAAACAUCUGGAUGUCACUCACUCAUUACUCACUAAUUACUGUAGUUUCUCAUUAGUGCUUGAUUAAUUAUUGUAACUUUAGUUAUUUACCUUUUGUUCCUAAUGAGUCAAACCUUCUUCUUACUCCUCUUCCUCCCUCCAGAGCCUCAUACCUUCAUCUGUAAAUGCUCCCCAUCCAUGGAGACUGCAGGCACCAUCAGUCCAGACAGUAUGUUGAAGAAAAGCCUGCUCCCAGGCCCCUCCCUCUCCCCCUCCUCCUACGCCUGCUCCUCCGCCUGCUCCUCGUCCUCCUUCAGCUCAGAGAAUCCUUAUCGGCAGAGGCAGCUCCCGCUACGCGGCAGAGGCUCUCACGCUGAGGAGACGUCUGCUCUCGUCUCACCACACAAACACUCCAUUUCUAGAGGUGCUGACGGACGGUUUGCUCUCCCACUAUCUGAUGAUUGCACUCACAGUUUGAGGAGUGUGAGGAGCUCAGAGCAGAGCGGCGA